RNAcentral lists this ribosomal RNA (429 nucleotides) under uncultured bacterium. Its description in RNAcentral is "bacterial SSU rRNA". It matches the Rfam family "Bacterial small subunit ribosomal RNA", at positions 355 to 776 of the family's 1533-position model. The record is from RNAcentral.
UCGAGGAUCAUUCGCAAUGGGCGAAAGCCUGACGAUGCGACGCUGCGUGGAGGAUGAAGGCCCUCGGGUCGUAAACUCCUGUCAUGGGGGGCGAGGCGGAGGCGGUCAACAGCCGCCCGAGUUGACGGUACCCCAAGAGGAAGCCACGGCUAACUCUGUGCCAGCAGCCGCGGUAAUACAGAGGUGGCGAGCGUUGUUCGGAUUUACUGGGCGUAAAGGGCGCGUAGGCGGCCGCGUGUGUGGGGUGUGAAAUCUCCGGGCUCAACCCGGAAAGUGCGCCCCAAACUGCGCGGCUCGAGUGCGGGAGGGGAGAUCGGAAUGCAGGGUGUAGCGGUGAAAUGCGUUGAUAUCCUGCAGAACACCGGUGGCGAAGGCGGAUCUCUGGAACGCAACUGACGCUGAGGCGCGAAAGCAGGGGGAGCAAACAGG